Molecule: transfer RNA, 73 nt
Filed under: Marmota monax (woodchuck)
Lineage: Eukaryota; Metazoa; Chordata; Mammalia; Rodentia; Sciuridae
Description: tRNA.Val
Rfam family: tRNA
About the family: Transfer RNA (tRNA) molecules are approximately 80 nucleotides in length. Their secondary structure includes four short double-helical elements and three loops (D, anti-codon, and T loops).
Source: RNAcentral
CUGGAGAUGUAGCUCAGUGGUAGAGUACUUGCCUAACACGCAAAAGGCCCUGAGUUCAAUCCUCAGUACUAGG